AGCCCGAUAGUGUAGUGGUCAAGCAUUUGGGACUCUGAAUCCUUAGACCCAGGUUCGAAUCCUGGUCGGGCUA
RNAcentral lists this transfer RNA (73 nucleotides) under Promethearchaeota archaeon. RNAcentral's name for it is "Candidatus Lokiarchaeota archaeon tRNA-Gln". It matches the Rfam family "tRNA". From Rfam's summary of the family: Transfer RNA (tRNA) molecules are approximately 80 nucleotides in length. Their secondary structure includes four short double-helical elements and three loops (D, anti-codon, and T loops). Lineage: Archaea; Promethearchaeati; Promethearchaeota. The record is from RNAcentral.